This 240-nucleotide long non-coding RNA is filed under the name Lathyrus oleraceus (garden pea). RNAcentral's name for it is "Pisum sativum (pea) long non-coding RNA (PSAT_LNC032072)". Lineage: Eukaryota; Viridiplantae; Streptophyta; Magnoliopsida; Fabales; Fabaceae. The record is from RNAcentral.
ACAUUUUACAUAACUUUCUCCAACUUACAAUCAUGUCAUACAUUCCACCAUUCCACUUUCCCUUUUUCUUUAUUAUACAUAUAACUUAUACCUAUUUUUACUCUUAUAUUUACCCAUUCUCACUCUUUUUUUUUCCAUAUACCUAUUUUUACUCUAACUAAUUCUAUUAAUUUAUUAAUUUUUUAUUCUAAUAAUUUUAUAUUUUUAUUUUAGAAUUUCUUUAAUGGAUUAUAAGUUUUU